UGGAACCUACCUUGUACAGGGGAAUAGCCCAGGGAAACUUGGAUUAAUGCCCCGUGGUACCACGACCUGGCAUCAGGAUGUGGUUAAAGCCUUCGGGCGGUAUAAGAUGGCCAUGCGUCCCAUUAGUUUGUUGGUAAGGUAACGGCUUACCAAGACUACGAUGGGUAGGGGCCCUGAGAGGGGGAUCCCCCACACUGGUACUGAGACACGGACCAGACUCCUACGGGAGGCAGCAGUGAGGAAUAUUGGACAAUGGAGGAGACUCUGAUCCAGCCAUGCCGCGUGCAGGAAGAAUGCCCUAUGGGUAGUAAACUGCUUUUAUACAGGAAGAAAAAGGGGCACGUGUGCCCUACUGACGGUACUGUAAGAAUAAGGACCGGCUAACUCCGUGCCAGCAGCCGCGGUAAUACGGAGGGUCCGAGCGUUAUCCGGAAUUAUUGGGUUUAAAGGGUCCGUAGGCGGGCGAUUAAGUCAGUGGUGAAAGUCUGUAGCUCAACUAUAGAAUUGCCUUUGAUACUGAUCGUCUUGAGUUAUAGUGAAGUUGCCGGAAUAUGUAGUGUAGCGGUGAAAUGCAUAGAUAUUACAUAGAACACCGAUUGCGAAGGCAGGUGACUAACUAUAUACUGACGCUGAUGGACGAAAGCGUGGGGAGCGAACAGGAUUAGAUACCCUGGUAGUCCACGCCGUAAACGAUGGAUACUAGCUGUCCGAGGCCUUGAGUCUUGGGCGGCCAAGCGAAAGUGAUAAGUAUCCCACCUGGGGAGUACGUUCGCAAGAAUGAAACUCAAAGGAAUUGACGGGGGCCCGCACAAGCGGUGGAGCAUGUGGUUUA
This 832-nucleotide ribosomal RNA is filed under the name Maribacter arcticus. Its description in RNAcentral is "bacterial SSU rRNA". It matches the Rfam family "Bacterial small subunit ribosomal RNA", at positions 120 to 948 of the family's 1533-position model. The record is from RNAcentral. Lineage: Bacteria; Pseudomonadati; Bacteroidota; Flavobacteriia; Flavobacteriales; Flavobacteriaceae.